CCUGAACCCCUUUUGACCUUUUCGGUCAUUUUGAAGGCAGAACUUCUGUUUUCGUAUAAACAUGGUGUUAAGGAUAAAGACAAGUGAGUCUUUGUGUAACCAACCUCUUUGUGUCUGCUGAGGAAGCGCGAUCAUGAGGCUCAUGGGAGCGAGGUGAACCUCAGGAGUCUGUCACAUUGCUGAAGUGGAUAAAGCGUCAUCACGCUGUGUUGUUUUGCGUUUGUUGCUGGAACAUUGUUGCCAUUACCAUCGUUAUUCUUCUAGGAAGAAAAGUUGAUCCCCAACAGGAAUUGCUUGUGUGUUUGUGUGGGGAACAUUUGGUGGAAACAAAAACAACCAGCAUACAGUGUGUAAAGAUCAUAGAGAGCCAAAGUGAAAGCCGGAACUUCCAGGUGCUAUUCUACAGACUGAUGGAUUACACUGAGUUACAGAAGCUAGCGGAACAGACGUGGCACCAUGGCUCUCUGUCAUGCACCUACACUAAAUGCUGAUCUAAGUUUAUUUGAUGUGAU
This is a long non-coding RNA of Seriola aureovittata, 512 nucleotides long. RefSeq lists it as uncharacterized. NCBI's taxonomy places the organism in Eukaryota, Metazoa, Chordata, Actinopteri, Carangiformes, Carangidae. The transcript has 3 exons. The record is from RefSeq and is a predicted model, not a curated record.